This 1014-nucleotide long non-coding RNA is filed under the name Homo sapiens (human). Its description in RNAcentral is "non-protein coding lnc-CNTLN-1:4". The record is from RNAcentral. Lineage: Eukaryota; Metazoa; Chordata; Mammalia; Primates; Hominidae.
AACUGGACCUCUCCUGGGACAGCAUGUGCUCUGCAUGGAAUAACAAGGUUAAAUGGACAAGGCUGAAUGGCCCUGUGAUGGGGAGUGCCUUUAAGCCACAUGACGGAAAUGAAACAGGAGCCAUAAUGACCAUGACUGGAGGAGAAUCAGAUUCUGGCCUGGCCUGGUUCUGUGAGAUACCUUAAAUCAUACUUUCUGUAGCAUCCCUUAAAGGUGGGUAGAGAGAAGGAGAGAGUUAAGUGUGGGUGCAGUCAUCCUCAGGAUGGUUGAUCUCUAAAUCUAUUCUUGGGCAAAAGUUUAGAGAAAAGCUGAAUCACUCAGCCCAGAGGAAGCCUGAGGAGGCAUAAAGAAGUCUUGGAAAUCCCCUGAAAAAAAGAAUCAGAUAUCACCUCCAUAGGAAGCUGUCUCUCUGCUUUAGAGCAAGAAUCAACAAACUUUUUCUGUAAAGAGCCAGAUAUCUGAGUCUUCUCAGAAGCAGAUGUCAAGACAAGAUUAUACACUCAAGAUAUAUUGGGUAACAUCUGUGAAACAUAAUGGAGAAGAAACAGGAGAAAGCAGGGAGAACUUUUGCACCAUGAUGCAGGACUGGCACCUCAGAAGGAGAGUGGGAAGGAAAGAGGAUUGAGUAGGAAAAGCCUUAAAUUUCAGCACCAUUCUAAGAAAGCUUCAGCAAGACUAUUGGGUAAUCCUUGAGCCAGUGACCAGUUGAGAGUUCUACACGUCACAGUAAUGAACUUGCAUUAGUGCCUCCAUGGUGCUUUUAAUCAUCGGCUGGCUGCCACCUGGGAAACUUGGCCUUUGUGGAUCCAGAGGGUCACCAAUUGGUAUCAUGACUCAUUUAUGCUCCCCACAGAUGAGAUCUGACCAUUUCAUGGCCUCCAACCCUUGGUCAAGAAAGCACAAAGAACUCCAGGCAUUCUCACCUUUGUUGGAAUUUUAUCGAGAGGACUUCUUGAAGUCAGGAAGGGUCAAUGCACCAUGUUCUAUACCAUUCAGAGGACUAUGCACAGAGAU